UAGGGAAUCUUCCACAAUAGGCGAAAGCCUGAUGGAGCAACGCCGCGUGUGUGAUGAAGGGUUUCGGCUCGUAAAACACUGUUGUAAGAGAAGAAUGACAUUGAGAGUAACUGUUCAAUGUGUGACGGUAUCUUACCAGAAAGGAACGGCUAAAUACGUGCCAC
This 164-nucleotide ribosomal RNA is filed under the name uncultured bacterium. Its description in RNAcentral is "partial 16S rRNA". It matches the Rfam family "Bacterial small subunit ribosomal RNA", at positions 355 to 511 of the family's 1533-position model. The record is from RNAcentral.